AAGAGAGUAAUAGCCUCGUAUUUAAAAUAGUCUUUGUACUUAGCAGUAUCCUGAGUACGGCGGGACACGUGAAAUCCCGUCGGAAUCUGGGAGGACCAUCUCCCAACCCUAAAUACUCCCUAGUGACCGAUAGUGAACCAGUACCGUGAGGGAAAGGUGAAAAGCACCCCGGGAGGGGAGUGAAAUAGAACCUGAAACCGUGUGCCUACAACAAGUUCGAGCCCGUUAAUGGGUGAGAGCGUGCCUUUUGUAGAAUGAACCGGCGAGUUACGUUAUGAUGCGAGGUUAAGUUGAAGAGACGGAGCCGUAGGGAAACCGAGUCUGAAUAGGGCGCCUUAGUAUCAUGACGUAGACCCGAAACCAUGUGACCUACCCAUGAGCAGGUUGAAGGUGCGGUAAGACGCACUGGAGGACCGAACCAGGGCACGUUGAAAAGUGCUUGGAUGACUUGUGGGUAGCGGAGAAAUUCCAAACGAACUUGGAUAUAGCUGGUUCUCUCCGAAAUAGCUUUAGGGCUAGCGUCGACAUUAGAGAUUCUUGGAGGUAGAGCACUGUUUGGGUGAGGGGUCCAUCCCGGAUUACCAAUCUCAGAUAAACUCCGAAUGCCAAUGAAUUAUGGUCGGCAGUCAGACUGCGAGUGCUAAGAUCCGUAGUCGAAAGGGAAACAGCCCAGACCACCAGCUAAGGUCCCAAAAUAAUUGUUAAGUGGAAAAGGAUGUGGGGUUGCACAGACAACUAGGAUGUUAGCUUAGAAGCAGCUAUUCAUUCAAAGAGUGCGUAAUAGCUCACUAGUCGAGUGACCCUGCGCCGAAAAUGUACCGGGGCUAAAACAAUUUACCGAAGCUGUGGAUACCUUUAUAGGUAUGGUAGGGGGGCGGUCUAUGUGUGAUGAAGGUAUACCGUGAGGAGUGCUGGAACGCAUAGAAGUGAGAAUGCCGGUAUGAGUAGCGAAAGACAGGUGAGAAUCCUGUCCACCGUAAGACUAAGGUUUCCAGGGGAAGGCUCGUCCGCCCUGGGUUAGUCGGGACCUAGGGAGAGACCGAAAGGUGUAUCCGAUGGACAACAGGUUGAUAUUCCUGUACUAGAGUAUGUAGUGAUGGAGGGACGCAGUAGGCUAACUAAAGCAGACGAUUGGAAGAGUCUGUCUAAGCAGUGAGGUGUGAAUUGAGUCAAAUGCUUAAUUCUAUAACAUUGAGCUGUGAUGGGGAGCGAAGUUUAGUAGCGAAGUUAGUGACGUCACACUGCCAAGAAAAGCUUCUAGCGUUUAAACAUACUCUACCCGUACCGCAAACCGACACAGGUAGUCGAGGCGAGUAGCCUCAGGUGAGCGAGAGAACUCUCGUUAAGGAACUCGGCAAAAUGACCCCGUAACUUCGGGAGAAGGGGUGCUGACUUUAAGUCAGCCGCAGUGAAUAGGCCCAAGCAACUGUUUAUCAAAAACACAGCUCUCUGCUAAAUCGUAAGAUGAUGUAUAGGGGGUGACGCCUGCCCGGUGCUGGAAGGUUAAGAGGAGUGCUUAGCGUAAGCGAAGGUAUGAAUUGAAGCCCCAGUAAACGGCGGCCGUAACUAUAACGGACAUAAGGUAGCGAAAUUCCUUGUCGGGUAAGUUCCGACCCGCACGAAAGGCGUAAUGAUUUGGGCACUGUCUCAACGAGAGACUCGGUGAAAUUUUAGUACCUGUGAAGAUGCAGGUUACCCGCGACAGGACGGAAAGACCCCAUGGAGCUUUACUGCAGUUUGAUAUUGAGUGUCUGUACCACAUGUACAGGAUAGGUAGGAGUCUAAGAGAUCUGGACGCCAGUUUCGAAGGAGACGCUGUUGGGAUACUACCCUUGUGUUAUGGCCACUCUAACCCAGAUAGGUGAUCCCUAUCGGAGACAGUGUCUGACGGGCAGUUUGACUGGGGCGGUCGCCUCCUAAAAGGUAACGGAGGCGCCCAAAGGUUCCCUCAGAAUGGUUGGAAAUCAUUCGCAGAGUGUAAAGGUAUAAGGGAGCUUGACUGCGAGAGCUACAACUCGAGCAGGGACGAAAGUCGGGCUUAGUGAUCCGGUGGUUCCGUAUGGAAGGGCCAUCGCUCAACGGAUAAAAGCUACCCUGGGGAUAACAGGCUUAUCUCCCCCAAGAGUUCACAUCGACGGGGAGGUUUGGCACCUCGAUGUCGGCUCCUCGCAUCCUGGGGCUGUAGUCGGUCCCAAGGGUUGGGCUGUUCGCCCAUUAAAGCGGCACGCGAGCUGGGUUCAGAACGUCGUGAGACAGUUCGGUCCCUAUCCGUCGCGGGCGUAGGAAAUUUGAGAGGAUCUGCUCCUAGUACGAGAGGACCAGAGUGGACUUACCGCUGGUGUACCAGUUGUCUUGCCAAAGGCAUCGCUGGGUAGCUAUGUAGGGAAGGGAUAAACGCUGAAAGCAUCUAAGUGUGAAACCCACCUCAAGAUGAGAUUUCCCAUGAUUAUAUAUCAGUAAGAGCCCUGAGAGAUGAUCAGGUAGAUAGGUUAGAAGUGGAAGUGUGGCGACACAUGUAGCGGACUAAUACUAAUAGCUCGAGGACUUAUCCAA
Molecule: ribosomal RNA, 2553 nt
Filed under: Streptococcus pneumoniae
Lineage: Bacteria; Bacillati; Bacillota; Bacilli; Lactobacillales; Streptococcaceae
Description: 23S ribosomal RNA
Rfam family: Bacterial large subunit ribosomal RNA
Source: RNAcentral